Molecule: ribosomal RNA, 554 nt
Filed under: Alternaria alternata
Lineage: Eukaryota; Fungi; Ascomycota; Dothideomycetes; Pleosporales; Pleosporaceae
Description: eukaryotic LSU rRNA
Rfam family: 5.8S ribosomal RNA (bases 200-353)
Source: RNAcentral
GGGUCUCCGUAGGUGACCUGCGGAGGGAUCAUUACACAAAUAUGAAGGCGGGCUGGAACCUCUCGGGGUUACAGCCUUGCUGAAUUAUUCACCCUUGUCUUUUGCGUACUUCUUGUUUCCUUGGUGGGUUCGCCCACCACUAGGACAAACAUAAACCUUUUGUAAUUGCAAUCAGCGUCAGUAACAAAUUAAUAAUUACAACUUUCAACAACGGAUCUCUUGGUUCUGGCAUCGAUGAAGAACGCAGCGAAAUGCGAUAAGUAGUGUGAAUUGCAGAAUUCAGUGAAUCAUCGAAUCUUUGAACGCACAUUGCGCCCUUUGGUAUUCCAAAGGGCAUGCCUGUUCGAGCGUCAUUUGUACCCUCAAGCUUUGCUUGGUGUUGGGCGUCUUGUCUCUAGCUUUGCUGGAGACUCGCCUUAAAGUAAUUGGCAGCCGGCCUACUGGUUUCGGAGCGCAGCACAAGUCGCACUCUCUAUCAGCAAAGGUCUAGCAUCCAUUAAGCCUUUUUUUCAACUUUUGACCUCGGAUCAGGUAGGGAUACCCGCUGAACUUAA